CCAGUGCAAAGGCCUAGAGGCUGGAGGAUGCUUGGCUGUGCACCAGGAACAGCAAGGAAGCUAGCAUGGCCGGAGUAGGGGGUGCAAGGUACCUUGCCGGCUUCCCACCAUUGUCUGAUAAGGCUGGUCCAGCCUACAUUGAAGAGCAUGAAACAGUCACCCUGCAAGGAGAAUGAUGACUGGCCAUGGAGGAGGAGUGGAACUGGCAAGGACACUGAGAGGCAGCAGCUAAUAGGGAAACAAGGAGACGUGGAAUCCUACAAGC
Long non-coding RNA from Chlorocebus sabaeus (green monkey), 265 nucleotides. RefSeq lists it as uncharacterized. NCBI's taxonomy places the organism in Eukaryota, Metazoa, Chordata, Mammalia, Primates, Cercopithecidae. The record is from RefSeq and is a predicted model, not a curated record.